This 102-nucleotide ribosomal RNA is filed under the name Parvilucifera rostrata. RNAcentral describes it as "5.8S ribosomal RNA". It matches the Rfam family "5.8S ribosomal RNA", at positions 1 to 104 of the family's 154-position model. Rfam says of the family: 5.8S ribosomal RNA (5.8S rRNA) is a component of the large subunit of the eukaryotic ribosome. Lineage: Eukaryota; Perkinsozoa; Perkinsida; Perkinsidae. The record is from RNAcentral.
AUCUCAUCGGUGGAUGACUCGGCUCGAAAUACGAUGAAGGACGCAGCGAACUGUGARAAGCAUCGUGAACUGCGGAUAUCAGCGAAUCGAUGGAUCUCCCAA